RNAcentral lists this ribosomal RNA (454 nucleotides) under Eulimnadia braueriana. RNAcentral's name for it is "partial 16S ribosomal RNA". It matches the Rfam family "Bacterial large subunit ribosomal RNA", at positions 1831 to 2600 of the family's 2925-position model. Lineage: Eukaryota; Metazoa; Arthropoda; Branchiopoda; Diplostraca; Limnadiidae. The record is from RNAcentral.
UUCCUAAAGUUUAAAUUUUAGGUAAAACCUGCCCAAUGUUUUUAAAUCAAUGGCCGCGGUAUUUUGACCGUGCGAAGGUAGCAUAAUCAUUAGUCUCUUAAUUAGAGGCUGGCAUGAACGGUUAAACGAGAAAAGAUCUGUCUCUCACUAAAAGUUGGAAUUUUAUUAUUAAGUGAAAAAGCUUAAAUAAAUCUGAAGGACGAUAAGACCCUAUAGAGCUUAUUUGUUGGGGCGACAAUAAGACAAAAAAUAACUCUUAUUUAUUUUAACAUAAAUAAAUGAUUUAUUGAUCCUUAAAGAAAGAUCAUAAGAACAAGUUACCUUAGGGAUAACAGCGUAAUCCUUUUUAAGAGUUCAUAUCGACAAAAGGGUUUGCGACCUCGAUGUUGGAUUAAGAGUUUGCCAAGGUGUAGCAGCUUUGGUAAAAGGUCUGUUCGACCUUUAAAAUCUUACA